Molecule: ribosomal RNA, 791 nt
Filed under: uncultured bacterium
Lineage: Bacteria
Description: bacterial SSU rRNA
Rfam family: Bacterial small subunit ribosomal RNA
Source: RNAcentral
GACACAUGGCAGACGGGUGAGUAACACGUGGGAAACUUACCUCUUAGUGGGGAAUAACGCUCCGAAAGGAGCGGUAAUACCGCAUGAGACCUAUCGCUGGGAUGCGAUAGAUGAAAGCUGGGGAUCGUAAGACCUAGCGCUGAGAGAGAGUCCUGCGUCUGAUUAGUUAGUUGGUGAGGUAACGGCUCACCAAGACUUCGAUCAGUAGCCGGCCUGAGAGGGCGAUCGGCCACACUGGAACUGAGACACGGUCCAGACUCCUACGGGAGGCAGCAGUGGGGAAUCUUGCGCAAUGGGCGAAAGCCUGACGCAGCAACGCCGCGUGGGUGAUGAAGGUCUUCGGAUUGUAAAACCCUGUCGUUAGGGACGAAGGCAUGAAUCCUAAUACGAUUCAUGUUUGACGGUACCUAGAAAGGAAGCCCCGGCUAACUCUGUGCCAGCAGCCGCGGUAAUACAGAGGGGGCAAGCGUUAUUCGGAAUUAUUGGGCGUAAAGGGUGCGUAGGCGGUUUUUUAAGUCAGAUGUGUAAUCCCCGAGCUCAACUUGGGAACUGCAUCUGAAACUGGAAGACUAGAGUGCUGGAGAGGAUGGUGGAAUUCCACGUGUAGCGGUGAAAUGCGUAGAGAUGUGGAGGAACACCAGUGGCGAAGGCGGCCAUCUGGACAGUAACUGACGCUGAAGCACGAAAGUGUGGGUAGCAAACAGGAUUAGAUACCCUGGUAGUCCACACCGUAAACGAUGAACACUUGGUGUAGUGGGCGUUGACCCCCACUGUGCCGUAGCUAACGCGAU